CCUACGGGAGGCAGCAGUGGGGAAUAUUGCGCAAUGGGCGAAAGCCUGACGCAGCGACGCCGCGUGAGGGAUGAAGGUCUUCGGAUUGUAAACCUCUGUCAGCAGGGAAGAACGGUCACUGUGCUAAUCAGCAGUGAAUUGACGGUACCUGCAAAGGAAGCACCGGCUAACUCCGUGCCAGCAGCCGCGGUAAUACGGAGGGUGCGAGAGUUAAUCGGAAUUACUGGGCGUAAAGCGCUCGUAGGCGGUAUGUCAAGUCAAGGGUGAAAUCCCCGCGCUCAACGUGGGAACUGCCUUUGAAACUGGCAAACUGGAGUGUGUGAGAGGAUAGUGGAAUUCCAGGUGUAGGAGUGAAAUGCGUAGAUAUCUGGAGGAACAUCAGUGGCGAAGGCGACUAUCUGGCACAUAACUGACGCUGAGGAGCGAAAGCGUGGGUAGCAAACAGGAUUAGAUACCCGGGUAGUC
This 465-nucleotide ribosomal RNA is filed under the name uncultured bacterium. RNAcentral's name for it is "partial 16S ribosomal RNA". It matches the Rfam family "Bacterial small subunit ribosomal RNA", at positions 338 to 795 of the family's 1533-position model. The record is from RNAcentral.